RNAcentral lists this ribosomal RNA (305 nucleotides) under uncultured bacterium. RNAcentral describes it as "bacterial SSU rRNA". It matches the Rfam family "Bacterial small subunit ribosomal RNA", at positions 338 to 639 of the family's 1533-position model. The record is from RNAcentral.
CCUACGGGAGGCAGCAGUGAGGAAUAUUGGUCAAUGGGCGGAAGCCUGAACCAGCCAAGUCGCGUGAGGGAAGAAGGCCCUGCGGGUCGCAGACCUCUUUGGACGGGGAGCAAGGCCGCCGACGUGUCGGCGGAAGGAGAGUACCCGUAGAACAAGCAUCGGCUAACUCCGUGCCAGCAGCCGCGGUAAUACGGAGGAUGCGAGCGUUAUCCGGAUUUAUUGGGUGUAAAGGGCGUGCAGCCGGAGAGACAAGUCAGAUGUGAAAUCCACGGGCUCAACCCGUGAACUGCAUUUGAAACUGUUUC